Molecule: long non-coding RNA, 740 nt
Organism: Aegilops tauschii subsp. strangulata
Lineage: Eukaryota; Viridiplantae; Streptophyta; Magnoliopsida; Poales; Poaceae
Source: RefSeq, a predicted model, not a curated record
UCGCCCGCCGCCGUCGCCGCCGAUUCAGCCGGCGCAGAUCCGGCCUUCUUCUUCUUCGGUGACGGCGUGGGGGCUGGGGUUGGUUGGGUGGAGGACGAGGAAGAUGAAUUUAUUCCUCUCACCAGGCAGGUCGAGGACGGAGAAGGUCAGGAGCGGCGAGGGGCGACGAAUACAUCGGAGGAGGAUUCUGAACUGGAUCGAGUAGACAUGGAUCUGGUCCUCAGGUGAUCGGUUCAAGAAAAGAUAUUUCCCCUGGACCAUUAUGCCCUUAUCGCAAUUAACAUAUUAAAUUUAAUCAAUUAAAAUUCCCCGCAAGAUCGGACGGCUAAUAAAAAUCAGACGUGAUCAGACAUGUAAGUACUGCUAAGUACUCCAAGUACUAACCCAAUCACCGUAAAACAGCUCGUAUGUCUUAUCUUAUGAAAUUUUGCUUUUGAUUUCUUUAAGGUGUUGGCUCUUCUUCCACCGUUGAUCAAGUUAGGAAAGACACUAUGAAGCAAGUCAAUGAUUUGGAUGUGGCACGAUGAUGCAAGAAAGACGCGACGACGACGAUGCAAGGAUGUUUAUCCCUUCUUGAAGGCGUUAGUAGACUUUGUCGUAGGUAUUUAAUUGGGAGAGGAUUUGUGGCAAGCAGGUCUCACAGCACGCAGUCCCUCGGGCGUGCUUUUAUUUCAUUUUACUUUCCGAUUUUCAAACUUUUAUAUCUUUAAACAAAAAUUCUAAAUUAAGUUAUGUUUUCA